Molecule: long non-coding RNA, 1103 nt
Filed under: Rhinopithecus bieti (black snub-nosed monkey)
Lineage: Eukaryota; Metazoa; Chordata; Mammalia; Primates; Cercopithecidae
Description: lncRNA (ENSRBIG00000045161.1)
Source: RNAcentral
UGGGAGGGGUAACUGGGGACUCGAGCUCAGUGAUGACGCGACUCUCACGUGACCAGGAGUCGACGUGUGCAGAAGUCCUUAUAGUCCAGGGCCUGUUUCCCUGUAGCAGCUCCCUAUUGCUGGAGAAGGAGAAAAGUGCCCAAGAUCCUUUCAGGAUAUUUGGUUUUUUGGGCGCGACACAAAUCGAGGUGAGGGAAGAGAGAGGAAAAUCCCCUGAAUCCCUGCAGGUCAGUUUUUGUAAAGGUGCAAUUGCUUCGUGUCUCUUUGGGUGGGGGUGGAAGUGUGAGUGACACCAAAGCACAUCCCGGGGUCGCAGCAGCCCCUCCCCAUCCGGAUUAAGCGCCGGAGGCCGGUGCCGAGCCUGCAGCGGAAAUGAGGCGGGGGAGGGGGAGGUUUAAGAGACGCUGAACUGGGAGGGGAGACCAGAGACUGGACCAACCCUCUCAGGUGAGAGGCUGGAGGUUGAGAGGGCUUGGGAAAGUCUGAAGGGCGGGAGUGUUGGAGACCAGAGGCGGGAGAAGGGUUAAUUGCUUCCGUACUGCUCCCAUUUCAGUAUUAGGAGAGGCUUGUAGCAGGGCCUGCUGGGAAGAUGGUGGGCAGGAGCAGGAGGAGAAAGAUGGAGCUGGAACGAAAGGGGGCGGGAAGGGAGGUGGAGUCAGGGGAGUUCCGAGCCUGAGGAUCCAGCUUUCUCUAGUUGGAAAACUUUUGACAAUUAGGGUACUGAGUCAGAAAAGGCCAGUCGCUAGGGGACCCCGUACUCUGGCUGCUGGUCUGUUUGCCUGGAAUCUAGUAGUUUUGUUUCCUUGUUUUCUAGGAUUAAUUUAUUCAAAAGGACAAUUAAAAAUACUUUCAAUAUUGCAAAAGUCUUGAAGAAAAUGAGGGAAAAAUCCACAGAACUGCAAAGGCCGAGGAAGAUCGCACCUUUGGAGGAUUGUACCACAGGAGGCAGAAGGAAUCCUCAACUUCUUGAAGUGAAUGGUAUUAAGCCAGAGCAGAAGGAAACCCCAGAGGAGAGCCGAAUCAGCCGGCCAGGGAUUUAAAGAGACACACCUGUUAGGCAUUUGAUACCCGGGAGAGAACGAUGAUAGAGGGUAGAUGAGCGU